CUUUCUCCGCCGGCGACCGGCGCACGGGUGAGUAACACGUAUGCAACCUGCCCCUGUCAGGGGGACAACCCGCCGAAAGGCGGGCUAAACCCGCGUACAUGCCACCGGGGCAUCCCGGAGGCAGGAAAGGCUUCGGCCGGACAGGGAUGGGCAUGCGGCGCAUUAGGCAGUAGGCGGGGUAACGCCCACCUAACCGACGAUGCGUAGGGGUUCUGAGAGGAAGGUCCCCCACACUGGUACUGAGACACGGACCAGACUCCUACGGAAGGCAGCAG
Molecule: ribosomal RNA, 275 nt
Filed under: uncultured bacterium
Lineage: Bacteria
Description: partial 16S ribosomal RNA
Rfam family: Bacterial small subunit ribosomal RNA
Source: RNAcentral